GGCAAGAAAGCCCAGGUAAUCAAGACGAAGACUGAAUUGGCUUCAGACCAUUAAGAUUUUGCAUACAACAGCCUGAAGAGGCAAGAACUGGAGUCUGAGAACAAGAAGCUGAAAAAUGAGCUGAACGAGCUGAGGAAAGCUAUUGCAGAGUGGGUGACCCAGAACAACUACUCCAACGAUAUCCAGGACAGCUACAGGCUCUUGCUGAACCAGCUGAAGUCGGCCAACGAAGAGCUGGAAGUGUGGAAAGAAGAGGUCCUUAUCCUGAGGACACAGAUUUUGAAGGCGGCCCAGCAAAAAGAGACAGGCAAAAAUAUGGAAACAAGCAUCAACACCCAUGCCAGCUGGCCCAACAGUGACAAGCACGUGGCUCAAGAGGAUGCAAUCGAGGCUUACCAAGGGAUAUGCGAGAUGA
Molecule: non-coding RNA, 415 nt
Organism: Tinamus guttatus (white-throated tinamou)
Lineage: Eukaryota; Metazoa; Chordata; Aves; Tinamiformes; Tinamidae
Source: RefSeq, a predicted model, not a curated record